Molecule: ribosomal RNA, 468 nt
Filed under: uncultured bacterium
Lineage: Bacteria
Description: partial 16S ribosomal RNA
Rfam family: Bacterial small subunit ribosomal RNA
Source: RNAcentral
GACGAACGCUGGCGGCGUGCUUAACACAUGCAAGUCGAACGGAAAGGCCCUGCUUUUGUGGGGUGCUCGAGUGGCGAACGGGUGAUUAACACGUGAGUAACCUGCCCUUGACUUUGGGAUAACUUCAGGAAACUUGGGCUAAUACCGGAUAGGAGCUCCUGCUGCAUGGUGGGGGUUGGAAAGUUUCGGCGGUUGGGGCUGGACUCGCGGCUUAUCAGCUUGUUGGUGGGGUAGUGGCUUACCAAGGCUUUGACGGGUAGCCGGCCUGAGAGGGUGACCGGCCACAUUGGGACUGAGAUACGGCCCAGACUCCUACGGGAGGCAGCAGUGGGGAAUAUUGCACAAUGGGCGGAAGCCUAAUGCAGCAACGCCGGGUGCGGGAUGACGGCCUUCGGGUUGUAAACCGCUUUCGCCUGUGACGAAGCGUGAGUGACGGUAAUGGGUAAAGAAGCACCGGCUAACUACGUG